AUACGGAGGGGGCUAGCGUUGUUCGGAAUUACUGGGCGUAAAGCGCGCGUAGGCGGUAUAUCAAGUUAGGCGUGAAAGCCCCGGGCUCAACCCGGGAACUGCGCUUAUUACUGAUAAACUAGAGUCCGGGAGAGGGUGGCGGAAUUCCCAGUGUAGAGGUGAAAUUCGUAGAUAUUGGGAAGAACACCAGUUGCGAAGGCGGCCACCUGGACCGGUACUGACGCUGAGGUGCGAAAGCGUGGGGAGCAAACAGGAUUAGAAACCCGAGUAGUCC
Molecule: ribosomal RNA, 274 nt
Filed under: uncultured bacterium
Lineage: Bacteria
Description: partial 16S ribosomal RNA
Rfam family: Bacterial small subunit ribosomal RNA
Source: RNAcentral